UACGUAGGGCGCAAGCGUUAUCCGGAAUUAUUGGGCGUAAAGAGCUCGUAGGCGGUUUGUCGCGUCUGCCGUGAAAGUCCGGGGCUCAACUCCGGAUCUGCGGUGGGUACGGGCAGACUAGAGUGAUGUAGGGGAGACUGGAAUUCCUGGUGUAGCGGUGAAAUGCGCAGAUAUCAGGAGGAACACCGGUGGCGAAGGCGGGUCUCUGGGCCGAUACUGACGCUGAGGAGCGAAAGCGUGGGUAGCAAACAGG
This 253-nucleotide ribosomal RNA is filed under the name uncultured bacterium. RNAcentral describes it as "partial 16S ribosomal RNA". It matches the Rfam family "Bacterial small subunit ribosomal RNA", at positions 524 to 776 of the family's 1533-position model. The record is from RNAcentral.